AUAACGCGUUUAACUGACAGCACUACUUUGGACGUUUUUAAAUGUUGUCAUUGAACAUAAUGCCUGAUUUAGCAGAAUGUUCCAGUAUCAACACUCUGUCUGGUGACAGGAAAGGGAAAUAUGCACAUCAAUUCCAAAUGUUCCUAAAAAGGAGCUGUUAAAAAUGUUAAGAAUAAACAAUCAGACACUGACCAAGUACUCUUAGCUCUCUUUGAGUGCUCCUUUCACAUUUCAAUAUGUGGGUGUUCCUGUCAUGGUAUAGAUCAAUCUUCUGUUUUAUAACACUGAUUUUUCACAUCCCUUUUUUGCAGAUAUCCUUGGACCUGCCACAAUCAUUUGCAUGCUACGUAGAAUGCUGCAAUGACAGCUUUGAGUUAUGACAGAUAGUAGAGUUGGCAUUCCUGGUAAAGUGACAAUAUUCUGCAGUCCGAGGUGUAAUGGAAUAUCCGCAAUCAGAUCCCUUUGAUGCAUCCACAAGGCCUGUAGCCACGGAGACAGGAGGAAGAGCACCUUAAAAAUGAAUGAACUUGAAAAUGAGAAGGUUAACAUGAUUUAUGCUGAAACAUAACGGGGGGAAAGCUCAUUGAAAUGAUGAGGAGCGCCCUUGGAAUUCAUUUGUUCAGAGCAACGUUCGGCAGGGUGGAAUGCCAUUCAUCUUCAUUGUUCAUCAUCUGUCUAUUGUCUUCCCGUCUAUGAAUGACAGGAGAGCCACCACCAUUUGUACGCUUAGAAUUUGACUUGCAAUAUCGUUGGCUGAUACACAUGUAGCAAUAUUCUGUCAAAUAGAAUCUCAGGACGUCUUUUGGCAGUAUCAUGGUUGAGAUAUCAUACCUUCAGCUGGAGAGCCACUGCUGAAGGGAUAAUUUUUGACCAUUGGUAAUGUGGAAAUGGGCAAUUUCAACAUCUUACCGACAUGACAUGUCAGCCAGACCAUGUGAAAAUGCAGACAACUGAGUUUAGUUUGUAUGUUUUAGCAUGCAUUGCAUUCAGUUAAUACUUCAGAAAAUACAAUUAAUUGGAUUAUUUGCUUAUAGUCACAUAGGAAAGAUUUGCUGAACAAGCAUGUACUUUUGGAACAUCGCCUUGUUCCACACUCAUACAUUUAUACAUAUUUACUCAUGGGAGAUGACCUGUACAACCACAGGCUUUUACCCUUCACUGAGCAUUGGUUCAGAGCAACAGUAAGUGCUUUGUUUUAAAAAGGUACCUUGUACCUAGGUGAUCAUUAGUGCCCGAAGCCUUCACAGCAUCUCGAACUACAAUGACAUUUGGUUAGUAGGCUCAGGAUGUAGUCAUCAGUCUACAUUUCAGUUUAGAGGUCUAUUCAUUCAAUACAUUAUCAUAUAACUUAUUUUUUCCCCUGGCACAUCUUCUAUAAAAAAAUCCUUAGGCAAUAAUUAUAGUUUGCUGCAAUCAAAAGACCAAUCAAAGUGAUUUCCAUUGCUCCUGAAUGGCAGAAAAGCCAACAAAAUACAUAGAAACCUUAUUAAUGUAACUAUAAACAAUUUUAAACAAUUAUAGAAAAACAAAUCACUGUAGGGUGUUAUGACAUUCAGACACCAAUUAUAGAGGGGUUGCUAUUUGUUUUCAAAUUUACAAAGGACCAUGUAAAUAAUAAGAGAUGACAUGUUACACAGAAACAAAAGUUCAAAAUGGUAAGCUUGUUUCCUGAUGUGUGGGUAAACUGAAGGUACAUGAAUGUAUAAAUGUUAAAUGCCUAUAUGGCAUAAAGGCCUGUGUGUCAGUAUGCAUCUGAAUGUUUGACAGAAACAUUUGUUUGACUUUGCAUCGGACGAGUAACCUUGUCCUUAGUCCCAAGCUAGAGCCCAUGCUUCAUCUGGCAUCCAGUGAAACAAGAUAGUUCUUGUAUUGCAUGCUCAACACUUUAGGCCCAUUGGCAAGUUGCCAUUCUCUCAAAUCAACCAAUUAAUGAACCUGUCAAUCACACAUCACUUGAAUUGCCCAAGGGAGCACUGAAUAGAAAAUUCAGGGAUACAGUAGGCUUCUCUAGAUAGCAAUUGAAUCCAGAUUAAGGUAGCUUUAACUAGUUUAAGUGGGAUGCUUUGACCGAACAACACAGUGGUAGCCUGUGUGUGCCAGCUGGGCAGAGAGGAACAGGCAACCCAGUCUGUAAUCCUCCUACCAAUCCAUUGCUAUCUCUGCAAGUGCAGUGAAUUAGCCGGGCUUGGCUGGAUGUGCAUAUUCAGUACCAGUCACUACAUCAACAAGUGCCUCUUUGUUGACAUCUGCACUUAAUCCUCUACCGUUGUUUAUUAUGAACAAAGUGGUUUUUGAUAGUGACUGCUUCUCAAGGCACAGACACGGAAAGUAAAAUAACUGAACUAUCAAGAGAGAAAGGAUUAUAAAAAAGAGAUCUGGCAAGAGUGAAAGACAUUGUUUGAUGAAUUAUUUGUAUUAUUUGAAUUUUUGUUGAAUAAUGCAUUGCGUUGUUUUCUACGUUAUCAGCGCCAGCAAUCUUUGCAUUUUACAAAGAAUCUGAGUGACAGGAGGCGAGCUGUGGAACUUUAACAGACUUUGAUAUCCCACUCAUGGUUACAGUUCUGCUGACUUCCCUAUUGCUCUGAAGUCAUUUUAUCACUUAUUUACUUCCUUAGAUAUUUUUUCCCUGAGCUGAGAGCCCAUUUUCCUUGCACUCAAUACGUCUUUUCCAGUUUCAGCAUUGCGAUGCCACUGGCACGUGGAAUGGCCUAGGAUACCAUGCAAUUGGCUCAAUAACACAAAAAUGGGACAAUAAAGCUGCAGACUCUGGUUUUAUUGUCAAUGCAUUUGGUACAGAGAAUGUGUAACAUAAUUCUUUUUGACUCAUUAGAUAACAGAUAAGGGUGAUAAUGUGUAUCCCAUUUCUGCAGUAGUCUGGUUGCGGUGCUAAAUUAAAGAUUUGUCUUUACCUUGUCAUGUGUUCAGGGUGAAACCAAGUUCAUGUAGUUAAGGAUAUACAAGGAGCCAAACAUAUGGUUUUAAAGAGCAUUCACAGCUAAAGAAAAAUACUGACAUUGUUGCAAUUAAAGGGUGGCAUCUAAAAAAAGAAAUGUAUUUUUUGAGAUUACUGGGAUUUCUUUUUUUGGAAACAUGGACAAAAACGUGUGUGAAUUUAUUAACUUAAACUAUGUACUUUUUACACUUACAUUUUACAAAUUUGUAACUCAGAAUCCCAAAGCAAAAAUGACCAUGAUAAGAAUGGCACACUAGCUAAGGGUGUUCUACUAAAGUGUAUAUCACCUCCCUCUUCAGUUGAGAAAUGGUAAUUUUAAUUUUUGCUAGGGAAAGGAAAAAUGUAUUCCAAUACAGUGUAGUGAACCACAGUGAGGUGUUGUGAACGCAACUCCAGUUGUCCAGUAAAACUCCUCCAUUAGCUCCUCCCCCUGCCCAGGUACAGUAUAAAAGACCUCAGCUGGCUCACUUUAGUCUUUUGCUGGUCCCUGGUGGUGGUUGCCUGCUGAAGGUGGUUCACCUGUUGAUGUUCUGCUUUACUUUGUUUUUGUUAGGUUUGCCUUUUCUUUUCUUUAGUUUAAGCUUGUUUACUUUGAAUAUAUUUCUGUUAUUUCACUUGAGGAUAUGUUUUAAGAUUGUUUAGUUACUAAUGGGGUUGUUGGUUUUUGUUAAUUUUUGAUUCUUUGUUUCAGGAGUGUCUUUCUUUUGUUUCCUUGUUUUCUGGUGUGGCCUGGGUGUCUCAGGUGGGCGGCUAGGCCCCAGGUUGGAACCUCGCUCCCAUUGCAUGCAAGUAGGCACUGGGACUCUUUUAGUGCAUGUUUUGUUGUAAUGUUGCCCUCCCAGAUUAGUAGUCUGCCCCCACUGAAGCCCCAGCCCACUGUUUUGAGUUUAUUAUGUAUUUCAUUGGAGUUUUUAGUAUUGUUACAGUUGUCUUCUUUUAAGUUUUUGUUAAUAAAAACAUUUGUUCUGUUUUA
Perca fluviatilis (European perch) is the source of this 3926-nucleotide long non-coding RNA. RefSeq lists it as uncharacterized. NCBI's taxonomy places the organism in Eukaryota, Metazoa, Chordata, Actinopteri, Perciformes, Percidae. The record is from RefSeq and is a predicted model, not a curated record. The transcript is spliced from 2 exons.